AAUUUUAAAACAACACUAAAGAUCAUAGGCUUAAGUAUAUAGAGCGUAUAUCGAAAAAUUCAAUAUUUUCGUUGGGGUUAACACAUAGAUUUUGAAUUUUUUUCAAAAAAAUAAAAAUACUAUUUUAAUGCAUAAUUUCAUCAUUCACCAACAUAUGAUGAAGGUUAAAGAGGUUUGGAACUUUUGUUGUCUUCGUUUCUCUAGAAAAUAGCGAUUUUAUAAUGGUUAGUCCACCAAUUUAGGAAGUAUUAUGAAGUUUUGCUAAAUUAAUUGACAAACAAUUUUAAAAGAUGCCCAAGUACCAUGAAAAAGAGUUUAAUAUACAUU
This 327-nucleotide long non-coding RNA is filed under the name Brassica napus (rape). Its description in RNAcentral is "long non-coding RNA (BNAP_LNC004719)". Lineage: Eukaryota; Viridiplantae; Streptophyta; Magnoliopsida; Brassicales; Brassicaceae. The record is from RNAcentral.